CAUAGGUUAAUGAGGCGAACCGGGGGAACUGAAACAUCUAAGUACCCCGAGGAAAAGAAAUCAACCGAGAUUCCCCCAGUAGCGGCGAGCGAACGGGGAGCAGCCCAGAGCCUGAAUCAGUGUGUGUGUUAGUGGAAGCGUCUGGAAAGGCGCGCGAUACAGGGUGACAGCCCCGUACACAAAAAUGCACAUACUGUGAGCUCGAUGAGUAGGGCGGGACACGUGGUAUCCUGUCUGAAUAUGGGGGGACCAUCCUCCAAGGCUAAAUACUCCUGACUGACCGAUAGUGAACCAGUACCGUGAGGGAAAGGCGAAAAGAACCCCGGCGAGGGGAGUGAAAAAGAACCUGAAACCGUGUACGUACAAGCAGUGGGAGCACGCUUAGGCGUGUGACUGCGUACCUUUUGUAUAAUGGGUCAGCGACUUAUAUUCUGUAGCAAGGUUAACCGAAUAGGGGAGCCGAAGGGAAACCGAGUCUUAACUGGGCGUUAAGUUGCAGGGUAUAGACCCGAAACCCGGUGAUCUAGCCAUGGGCAGGUUGAAGGUUGGGUAACACUAACUGGAGGACCGAACCGACUAAUGUUGAAAAAUUAGCGGAUGACUUGUGGCUGGGGGUGAAAGGCCAAUCAAACCGGGAGAUAGCUGGUUCUCCCCGAAAGCUAUUUAGGUAGCGCCUCGUGAAUUCAUCUCCGGGGGUAGAGCACUGUUUCGGCAAGGGGGUCAUCCCGACUUACCAACCCGAUGCAAACUGCGAAUACCGGAGAAUGUUAUCACGGGAGACACACGGCGGGUGCUAACGUCCGUCGUGAAGAGGGAAACAACCCAGACCGCCAGCUAAGGUCCCAAAGUCAUGGUUAAGUGGGAAACGAUGUGGGAAGGCCCAGACAGCCAGGAUGUUGGCUUAGAAGCAGCCAUCAUUUAAAGAAAGCGUAAUAGCUCACUGGUCGAGUCGGCCUGCGCGGAAGAUGUAACGGGGCUAAACCAUGCACCGAAGCUGCGGCAGCGACGCUGAUGCGUUGUUGGGUAGGGGAGCGUUCUGUAAGCCUGUGAAGGUGUGCUGUGAGGCAUGCU
This 1071-nucleotide ribosomal RNA is filed under the name Escherichia coli. RNAcentral's name for it is "partial 23S ribosomal RNA". It matches the Rfam family "Bacterial large subunit ribosomal RNA", at positions 165 to 1274 of the family's 2925-position model. Lineage: Bacteria; Pseudomonadati; Pseudomonadota; Gammaproteobacteria; Enterobacterales; Enterobacteriaceae. The record is from RNAcentral.